Molecule: ribosomal RNA, 450 nt
Filed under: uncultured bacterium
Lineage: Bacteria
Description: partial 16S ribosomal RNA
Rfam family: Bacterial small subunit ribosomal RNA
Source: RNAcentral
CCUACGGGCGGCUGCAGUGGGGAAUAUUGGACAAUGGGCGCAAGCCUGAUCCAGCAAUGCCGCGUGUGUGAAGAAGGCCUGCGGGUUGUAAAGCACUUUGGGCGGGGAGGAAGGCCGCCGGGCGAACACCCCGGGGGAUUGACGUUACCCGCAGAACAAGCACCGGCUAACUCCGUGCCAGCAGCCGCGGUAAUACGGAGGGUGCGAGCGUUGAUCGGAAUUACUGGGGGUAACCCGCGCGUUCGGGGGUGAAAUCCCCGGGCUCAACCUGGGAACUGCGCUGGAUACUGCCGGGCUGGAGUGUGGGAGAGGGGCGUGGAAUUUCCGGUGUAGCAGUGAAAUGCGUAGAGAUCGGAAGGAACACCAGUGGCGAAGGCGGCGCCCUGGACCAACACUGACGCUGAGGUGCGAAAGCGUGGGGAGCAAACAGGAUUAGAUACCCCGGUAGUC